Molecule: ribosomal RNA, 274 nt
Filed under: uncultured bacterium
Lineage: Bacteria
Description: partial 16S ribosomal RNA
Rfam family: Bacterial small subunit ribosomal RNA
Source: RNAcentral
AUACGGAGGGUCCAAGCGUUAUCCGGAUUUAUUGGGUUUAAAGGGUCCGUAGGCGGGAAAAUAAGUCAGUGGUGAAAGCCUGCAGCUCAACUGCAGAACUGCCAUUGAAACUGUUUUUCUUGAGUAUAGAUGAAGUGGGCGGAAUGUAUCAUGUAGCGGUGAAAUGCAUAGAUAUGAUACAGAACACCGAUUGCGAAGGCAGCUCACUAAACUAUUACUGACGCUGAGGGACGAAAGCGUGGGGAGCGAACAGGAUUAGAAACCCCAGUAGUCC